Long non-coding RNA from Equus quagga, 331 nucleotides. RefSeq lists it as uncharacterized. The transcript is spliced from 3 exons. The record is from RefSeq and is a predicted model, not a curated record. Lineage: Eukaryota; Metazoa; Chordata; Mammalia; Perissodactyla; Equidae.
CCAAGAUCAAGGUGUCGGCAGGACCAGGCUCUCCGAAGGCCCUGAGGGAGGGUCCUUCCUGCCUUGGCAGAAGAGAGUUUCGUUCGAGCCAAGCUGAGGGCUAGCCCGGAAGCACAGCCUUCACGGAGGAGGAAAGCGCCCGGAGAAGCAUAGUUUUCAGCGAAGUUUAAACUAUUUUGGAACAAAGAACAUACACCAAGCACGACACGGAAAAUGAGACAAUAAUCAUAAGCUGUGCUGUGGAAAUGGAGAUAACCUAUGAGAGGAACUGAGAACAGUGCCUGCACAUACACGUCGUUGUCAUCAUUUCCAACACUGUUGCUGUUAUCUG